UCGCAGCGCCGCGACGUUCUGCCGGGUC
Molecule: small RNA, 28 nt
Filed under: Bombyx mori (domestic silkworm)
Lineage: Eukaryota; Metazoa; Arthropoda; Insecta; Lepidoptera; Bombycidae
Description: ovarian small RNA-28582
Source: RNAcentral